UGAAAGAAGAGUCCAAGAAGACGACGUUGAAAGAAGAGUCCAAGAAGACAACGUAGAAGGAGGAUCCGAAUUUGAGGACACUGACAGUGGAAUUUAUACAGCCAGGCCAUCUGCUGCUAGUAGUCAAGAGGGAUUCCUUAAUGUAACGAAUGAAACGUUUGUUUAAGUGGAUACAAAGAUUGUGACAUUCCAACAAAGAAGAGUCGUUGUCAAGGGUCAAACUUCAAACAGGUUACCCAUUCUUAUGUUAUAAUUAAUUCAUUCG
Anneissia japonica is the source of this 265-nucleotide long non-coding RNA. RefSeq lists it as uncharacterized. NCBI's taxonomy places the organism in Eukaryota, Metazoa, Echinodermata, Crinoidea, Comatulida, Comatulidae. The transcript is spliced from 4 exons. The record is from RefSeq and is a predicted model, not a curated record.